This 156-nucleotide ribosomal RNA is filed under the name uncultured bacterium. RNAcentral describes it as "partial 16S ribosomal RNA". It matches the Rfam family "Bacterial small subunit ribosomal RNA", at positions 376 to 528 of the family's 1533-position model. The record is from RNAcentral.
AGGCGAGCUGAGGAGCACGCCGCGUGAGUGAUGAAGGUCUUCGGAUCGUAAAACUCUGUUAUUAGGGAAGAACAAAUGUGUAAGUAACUAUGCACGUCUUGACGGUACCUAAUCAGAAAGCCACGGCUAACUACAUGCCAGCGCCGCGGUAAUUGA